GGAACCGGAGCCAUUGCUUGGAAACCGGGUAUCGGGGAUGAGUCAAGGUACGCUAGUUUAAGCUCCUUCUUACUGACAUAAUUGACCACAGUUUUGCAGUGGAAUGGAUGCAGGACUUCGAGACUUUUCAGGAUGCCCUGAAUCAAGAGACCUCCUAUGUCAGUAACCUGACUCGUUCUAUGAGUUUAGUGUUGGAUGAAUUUUACAGUUCACUGAAGGUCAUAUUUAUCUGCCUGUCAGGACUGUUGGAGCGCUGGAUGGAGAGCAGGUCAUAUGAAGAGGAUUACAGAGUAAAAGGCAGCUUGUACUUAAGUGCAGGGAAAGUAUAAAUAUUGAUAUAUAUUGGCACAGUGCCUAGCCUUAAUGCUUAAAAUCCUUUGGAGAGCUGUCUGCAUAUUUACUGUAUUAAUGAGCAAAUGCAAGGCUGUGUUGGGAAAGGUCUUCCAUUUGGAAGUCAGUAGUUGAGACUGUCUUGCCUAUGAAAAAGAGGGAGAAUUUUCAUUAGAGGAUGUAGGAUUCUGGCUGGUAAUAGUCUUAAUUAAAGGUAUUUUUAGAUAACUGAUUUAAUGCAAGCAGAACAAAUGGCCAGAAGUGUAAUGAGAGACAAGUUGACAUUAGAAAGUAGAUGUGCAUUUUGAAUGUAUUGUCAUAGCAACUGAUUAAAUUCUCCAUCUCUUGCUGUUUUGGGGACCUUUUAAAUGUGCUUUGGCUAAAUAAAAAAUAUUAGACUAUUUCAGAGCCAAAAGGUCAGUUCUUGUUGUCUAUUUUGCACUUUAAUUCUAGUACACUGAUACUUGCUAACCACUUAUAACCCUAGAUGCAGAAUGAGAACUUGGGUUAUUAACA
Molecule: long non-coding RNA, 846 nt
Organism: Chiroxiphia lanceolata (lance-tailed manakin)
Lineage: Eukaryota; Metazoa; Chordata; Aves; Passeriformes; Pipridae
Exons: 3
Source: RefSeq, a predicted model, not a curated record